GACGAACGCUGGCGGCGUGCCUAAUACAUGCAAGUAGAACGCACAGUUUAUACCGUAGCUUGCUACACCAUAGACUGUGAGUUGCGAACGGGUGAGUAACGCGUAGGUAACCUGCCUGGUAGCGGGGGAUAACUAUUGGAAACGAUAGCUAAUACCGCAUAAUAUUAAUUAUUGCAUGUUAAUUAAUUGAAUGGUGCAAUUGCACCACGACCAGAUGGACCUGCGUUGUAUUAGCUAGUAGGUGAGGUAACGGCCCACCUAAGCGAAGAUACAUAGCCGACCUGAGGAGGGGGUCCGCCCAAACGGGAACGGAGCACCGGCCAAGACCCUUAGGGGAGGCACAGUAGGGGAACUUCGGCCAAGGGCGGAAAGCUUGACGAGCAACGCCGGCGUGGGGGAUGAAGGUCUCCGAUCGUAAAGCUCUGUUGUAUGGGAAGGAAGAGUGUGAGAGUGAAAUAUUCACGUUGUGACGGUACCUAACCAGAAAGCCACGGCUAACUACGUG
RNAcentral lists this ribosomal RNA (505 nucleotides) under uncultured bacterium. Its description in RNAcentral is "partial 16S ribosomal RNA". It matches the Rfam family "Bacterial small subunit ribosomal RNA", at positions 28 to 507 of the family's 1533-position model. The record is from RNAcentral.